GUCAUAAACCUUGACAUAUUAUACUGUCCGCCAGAGUACUACAAGUGAAAAACUCAAAACUCAAAGGACUUGACGGUGUCCCACACCAACCUAGAGGAGCCUGUCCUAUAAUCGAUACCCCACGAAACACCUCACCCUUCCUAGCACGAUCAGCCUAUAUACCGCCGUCGUCAGCCUACCUUAUAAAAGUUACAAAGUAGACAAGAUCAGUCAAAUCGCAAAAACGUCAGGUCAAGGUGUAGCAUAUGGAAGGGAAAGAGAUGGGCUACAUUUUCUAACAAGAAAAGACUAACAGCAUAAUGAAAAUUAACGCUCUACGGUGGAUUUAGCAGUAAGCUGAGUAAGCGAGCUCAA
Molecule: ribosomal RNA, 354 nt
Filed under: Strophurus krisalys
Lineage: Eukaryota; Metazoa; Chordata; Lepidosauria; Squamata; Diplodactylidae
Description: partial 12S ribosomal RNA
Rfam family: Bacterial small subunit ribosomal RNA
Source: RNAcentral